AUACGGAGGGUGCAAGCGUUAUUCGGAAUUACUGGGCGUAAAGCGCGUGUAGGCGGUCUUUUAAGUCUGAUGUGAAAGCCCCGGGCUCAACCUGGGAAGUGCAUUGGAAACUGGGAGGCUUGAGUGCUGGAGAGGAAGGGGGAAUUCCCGGUGUAGAGGUGAAAUUCGUAGAGAUCGUGAGGAAUACCAGUGGCGAAGGCGCCCUUCUGGACGGCAACUGACGCUGAGACGCGAAAGCGUGGGGAGC
Molecule: ribosomal RNA, 247 nt
Filed under: uncultured bacterium
Lineage: Bacteria
Description: partial 16S ribosomal RNA
Rfam family: Bacterial small subunit ribosomal RNA
Source: RNAcentral